GAUGAACGCUGGCGGCGUGCUUAACACAUGCAAGUCGAACGAAGCAGUUAGAACUGAUUUCUUCGGUUUGAUGUUCUUUAUGUCUGAGUGGCGGACGGAUGCGUACCGCGAGGGUAGCCUGCCUUGUACUAGGGGAUAGCAGCUGGACACGGCAGUUAAUACCGCAUAAGCGCUCCUUGUUGCAUGCAAUUGCGUGAAAAACUCCGGUGGCAUAAGAUGGACCGGCGUCUGAUUAGCUAGCUGGUGAGAUAGCAGCCCACCAAGGCGACGCUGAGUAGCCGAGAUGGGGGGGUGACCGGCAACAUUGGGACUGGGACACGGAGCAGAUUCCUACGGGAGGCAGCAGUGGGGAAUAUUGCACAAUGGAGGAAAGUCUGAGGCAGCGACGCCGCGUGAGUGAAGAAGUAAUGAGUUAUGUAAAGCACUAUGAGCAGGGAAGAUAGUGACGGUACCUGACUAAGAAGCUCCGGCUAAAUACGUG
RNAcentral lists this ribosomal RNA (481 nucleotides) under uncultured bacterium. RNAcentral describes it as "partial 16S ribosomal RNA". It matches the Rfam family "Bacterial small subunit ribosomal RNA", at positions 28 to 507 of the family's 1533-position model. The record is from RNAcentral.